Long non-coding RNA from Sphaeramia orbicularis (orbiculate cardinalfish), 5530 nucleotides. RefSeq lists it as uncharacterized. The transcript is spliced from 2 exons. The record is from RefSeq and is a predicted model, not a curated record. Lineage: Eukaryota; Metazoa; Chordata; Actinopteri; Kurtiformes; Apogonidae.
UAUAUCUCACUGAAAAGUUCCUCUUUAGGUGAUUCUGUCUGAUUUUACGAGUGAUGAGAUAUUUGGACUAAAAUAAGAAAAAUACACUUGGGAAGAUUUAGAUUUUUUCCAGUGCAUCAGUGUCAGAAUGUUGUGGCUGAUCGGUGUAAAGACGACACCCAAGAGUCAUGGGAUGUCAGUGUAACUAUUGUUUUCUAUAAUCUGACCACAGUCAUUGAAGAUCUCAACAUGACCAGACUUGUAGUGAUCUUCACCGCUAUUAAACAUUUUCUUAGUCGUUCCUGAAGAAUGAGAUGAAAUACGGCUUUUUGGUGUUGGUGACCUGUACCAUAAAAAAUGACAGAUGCUGUUCACUGAGCUGUUUCCACACGAAAUUAAAUGGCACUGAAAGCUGCCGGAGCUAAAAUCAGAAAAAAUACCAGAAUUUGCAAAUACACAAGGUGUCCCAAAAAAAUUGACAUCAUCUGAAAUGUCCAUAUCAGAGUGACUACAUGGUCAGGAGAAAUGAUACUUAAUAGGAUUUAUUUUGGACGUAAAAUGUUUUAUCCUACAAAUUCCAAACAAAAAAUUCUGGGGGAUGGUAAUUUUAUAAUGUUCCAUUCUUCUUUGGACUCCAACUAAACAUUUCCCGAACUUGGUUUACCACCUCUUCUGAAACUGCCGGCCGUCCAGAUCCUUUUUUCCCCCAACACAAACAACCUUCCUCUUGAAACUUCUUAUACCACAUCCAAAUCUGCUUUCCUGUUGGUGCUUGUUUAUGAAAUUUUCUAACAAAUUCACGUUGCGCAUUCACAUUUGACGAUGUUUGGGCGUACCUCAGAACACAGAACGCCUUUUCUGUUGCAGUAAACCAUAUGUCUAUUCCUGAAAACAGAACAAUACAAAUGAUUACUCUUUUUUGAGCAAAAAGCGCAAACAAAUUUGAAAGAAAUUAUUAGGUGAGGAAAUGAUGUCAAAUUUUUUGGGACACCCUGUAUAUCGUCCAUCUUUAGCUGUCUACUCUCAGCUCAUAUCAAAGAUAAAUCUGGAUGAACCUGACACCGUUCUACGUUGCAAAAAUCGGGCAUAGGUGGAAUUCUUGUUUUGCUUCAGACCAUUUUAGCUCAAUCUGCCAAAAGGUAAAAGCAUCACAGCUUUAACCAUCUUAACUUUCCUAAAUUAUCUACAUUGCGUCUGAAAAUGAUGACACAGUUUCCACCGGAUCAGAAACAAUAGUGGCUGCAUUUUUGCACAUGUGCAGACCGAUCCGGGUUUCGGUAUCUGGAUCACCAGUGACUGACUUCACCAGCUGACAUGACCAGCUCAGUUACCUACCAGCAUUAAAUGUGAACGAUGAACUUCUGAUCAGGUGACUCGUUGAUCCCUCAGGUGAGUCCUCACAGAGACGGACAGGUGAGCCUUCUCCAGGUGUUCCUCUCAGUUUGGACCUGACGUCGCUGCACUAAAGCCUAAGCUCCACCCCCUCCGCUGGAACUUCCCUGUUGUGUUUCUGAAAAUAACAUAGGAAGGACACACUCUGGCUACAUGUACGUACGGACUGGAAAGAUCUGCUACAGGAUGUUAGCUUUAACCAGCAUUUAACACCCAGCAAUGAAAUCAUGUAACACAUUACAGUGGGGCGGGGCUAAGAAAACAGUUAAUAAUAGCUUAAUUUGUUUUCGUUUGUCUGUGUUGAUUUCAGGAAUAAAAAAUAAAAAAAACAGAUUUGUCUAAACUACCAAAAAAAGAAAGAUAGAAAAACAACUGCCAAGCUUUUAGCUUUGUAAGCUAACAGGCUGUAAAGUUUCCUUGCAGCGUUUUGUCACUUGAAUGCUGAGUGUUUCGAGUUCACCAUUUUCUGUGUUGUAAUGAUGAGUUUAUGAGUUCCACUUACAGGCAGCAUAUGUUCCAAGGGUUUCCCAAGAUCCCAUUAUUCCUAGUGUUAGAAGUUCCCCAAAUCCCAUUCUCCUGUUACAAUGUUCCUAAGAUGCUAUGUUCCCAAAAUGUUUUAUUUCCAGCGUCUCGUGUUCCCAAAACCCAAUACUGAGGACAUCAUAGCCUCUGAAGAUUCUGUCUAAGAAUGUAUUUUCCCUGAGUGUGAAGUUCCCAAAUUCUCAUCCUCACAUCAUUCUGUGUUCGCAAGAUCCUUUGGAACAAAGAUCCUGUGUACCUAAGAUCUUAGGCUCGGAAAACCAUUUGUUGUUAAGAUAUUCUAUCCUCAAGGUCCCAUGUUCUCAAGAUUCAAAGUCCAGGAUGUCCUAUGCUUUAAAGAUCCUGUGUUCCUAGAGUCUGAAGUUCCCAAACUCCUGGUUUCCUAGGGUCAUGUGGUUCCAUGACUCUAUGUUCCCAUGAUCUUUUUCCCUAAGGUGUUAGAUUCCCAAGGUCCCAUGGUCCCAAAAGCCUACGCUCCCAUCAUCAUAUGUUCAUAUGCAAGAUGUUAUCUUGCCAAGAUCCUAUGUUCCCAUAGUCCUAAGUUUCUAAAAAUGUGAUCCCCUCCUAUGGUUCUGUGUUCUCAUGAUCCUAUUUUCCCCAAGACCUGAUCUUCCCAUGGUCCCAUCCUGUCUUUCAAAGGGCACAGGUUCCCAAGAUCCCAUUCUCCAAAGAUCUUGUGUUCUUAAGCGCUUAUGCUCCGAAGAUCCUAUCUGUCCAAGAUCCUAUAUACCCAAUCAUAUGUUUCUUAGAUCCCAUGUUCCCAAGAUCUUACUUCCCUAAGUUGUUAUACUCAGAAGGUCCUGGGUUUCAAAGAUUCUAUUCUCUGAAGAACCUGUGCUCCCAAGAUGAUUCCUAUGAUCCUUUGUUCCUAGACUCAUAAACUGCCCAAAUUCUGUUCUCUUCGAGUUGUGAGUCCCCAGAACCUGAACCUCUACCCAAACCUGAGAACAUGGACCCCUUCGUCAGGUUCCAGGUAUGUGUUGUACAAAUCUUGGGAACAUUGGACCCUGAAUGCUUAGUGUGAAAGCAUCUAAAGGUAGAGGAGACAUUUUACCUGUUCAUCUCCUUGUGUGUCCUUCAGACUUAUGCUGCGUUUAGGUCCUGUAGGAGAUUCCAUGUUUUCUUCAUCAGAUGGGUGACAGUAGUGGUUGUCAGUCUUCUCAUUUUUGAUCCAUGAAUUGAUCGAUUCACUUACGGAAAUAACUGCCACCACCUUAUCCUUGUCUAUGUGUGAAAUUCUACUAAAUUAAAGUCAGAAUUUGCUUUUUAUCACCAGCUCGGAGAAACCUGGUGACUUUAAUAGUAUUAACAGUUGAACCGUGUAAAUUACCAUAAUUCUGAUGUGACUUGAAUGCAGCAUCAGAUGUGGUCUUCUGCCUCUGCAGGACUCGGGGGGUCCGGUCUGAGAGCAAUAAGAAUUUCAGGAUGAAAAUCUGCUGCAGCGACAAUCAGACGAUGAUGUCACAGACACUGAUUGAUUUGAUUGACUGAUUCUUUUGUGAUUGAUCGGUUAUUGAUGAACCAGCCUGCUUUUGUACUGAGCUCAACUGACUUUUAUAAACAUGUCCAUGAACUCGGCUUUGUAGAACUAAUCUGACGUCAGGUUUAAGGAGCCCAAAGGAGUGAAAACAUGUAACGAAUAUGGAUCUAAUCACUUUAUUUGUACCUUCAAUUUGCCAAUGUUUGUUAUUGAUUAUGAAAUGUGUCAUUCAGGAGCUUUUUUCUGCUGAUUCUCAGUGAUAUUUGAUGUUUGUUCCUGGACUCUGAACCAAAACAUCGGGUCUUUUUAUCGUCUGUUCUGUCAGUCUGUUACCUAUUUAUUGAUCAGUUCGAUCAGCUUCACUGAAACCAGUCUGACCUCCACUUUAUCGCUGCUUCUCCGUCGGUCUGCUCCGCUCAGCUGCCAUCGUCAAACAGGAAACAGUUGAACACCUGAUCAUCAGGUCUCACCUGGCCACAGUGACGCCACACAGGUCAGGUUAUCAGGUAUCAACGCCAUUAAAGAACUCUGUGUCUAAAAACACACACAGCAGACCGUAAACUGUAUGUAAAGAUGGACGCUGUGACAUCACCUCCUUCUGAAAGUGAAACUGGCCACAUUACAUUACUUUGUUAAAUCCGUUAUAUAAAAAGAUAAAUAAUGCUGCGUAUAGACUGUUAGAACUCUGCAUUUUACAUCAUUUAAAAACAUAUUGAAAAACUGCAGCAUAAACUGCACCUUUUUUGCUGCUUUGUUAGAAAAUAUCACAAUAAAUGAGGCGUAUAGACUGUCAUGAUGCUACUUUUUACAUCAUUUAAAAAAAAAAAAAAAAAGCAAAAUAUGGCAUAUAAACUGUUAUGAUAUUGCUUUUUACACAUUUUUGUUAAAGGAUCAGUGUGAAAUGCAGUGGACAAAUGAUCAUGGCACAACUUUUUAUUUUGUAAAAAGAAAAAAGUAUUUAAAAUGCCGCGAUCAUGUUUUUUUUUUUUUUUUUUUUUUUAACAAAUUUUGGUAAUUUUUUUUUUUUCAAGGCAGUGAUCAACUCUUAACUUUUUAUGCCUUUUUUAGGGUUAGGUUUUUUGUUUAAAUGCUACAGUGCCACUUUUUUCAUAGUUUGGUUCAAAGAUCAGGAUAAAAUGCCGCAUCAAACUGGUUUUUACACUAUUUUCUUAACAACUCUUCGCUUCCUAAACCCUGCUUUUUUAUGAAUACAUGCAACAGUGUGAUGUUAUCAACACUGUUUUUCUUUCUUUUUUUCACACUAUUGUUUUGUUCAUUCUUGACCCAUUUUGUAGUGAACAUAUGAACUGUCAUGUGCCUAUUUUUACACCAUUGUGUCAAAAUUAGUAUAAAAUGGAGCUGCAAACUGUUGGCAUGUAACACAAAUCUGUAAAAUGUCAGAGUAACAAACAAAAUUUUACAGAUUUUUCUUUUUAACACAUUUUAAAAGUGAUGUAACGUGGCUGGUUUUGUAAUAGAUUUUCCACAUUAGAGAAACUAUUUGUCUCCUGUGAGUCGGUGUUGAGUUAUUUUGCAUCAUCAAUAUCUGAUCAGACAGAUGACAUUGAUCUGACCUGUACCACCGUCGUCCACCAGGGGGCGACUGACAUUCUGACUGCACUUGAAGGAGGUGAUUCUUCGUCCAUCUUUAUGUUCACUCUGUGUUUUGGACUCUGUGAGAGGAGAUUCACUGUUUCCUGUUGUAUUUUUUAUUUACAGUAUUUUUCUCUUUUCUGUUGCGGCUUUAGUUGAGCAGAAACUUCUCAGAUAUCAGAUAUCCCAGCAUGCACUUCUACUAACUCUGGUCUCACACCAAAGCAGAACAGACGUCAGGACAAAAACAAACUGUAAAAAUCUGUAAAGUACACACAGUGAGGUCGCCUGAGGACACCGAGUACUGCAGUAGUGUAAGUAUUAACACUGCGUACUCUGUCCGUCAGGGACGCAUCACUGCGUUCUGCCGUGUUGUGUUCAAGUGCACUCUGUACAGAUUCAGCUCUGUGUAAAAAUCAUUUUCUAUCUUUUUGGACUCUUUUGCUGUUUGUACUUUUUUCACCCUGUUGUUUGAUGUAAAUAAGUGACGGCAGCCUGAGACUGUAAACAUGCUGUUUUUAAAUAAAAAAUUCAGCUCAGUAUUUA